CGCUGAGGAGAAAAGCCGGCUAGACGCCGUGCUCGCCCCGCCGCCAGGCAUCAACCUCGCCCGCCUACCCUGCUUCCCGGCCGAGAGGCCCUGGCUCUGGCUCGCUGCGUCCCGCGCAGCCGUAAAGCGCACUCUUUCGGCGACAGCGUCGCAAACAAAACAGCGCGUAAGUCAGACGAGCGGAACCGAGAAACAGGGCCGACCGACCGACGAAGGCCAAGCCAAGGUUCCGGAGACGCUGGGCGCUUUUUCUGGCCGCCUUGGCUGAACACUGGAAAACCCUGGAAACUUCUUUACAUACCAGCCUCUUGUCCUCGUCCCCUGUGAUCUGAUUCACCUGUUCAAAGACACCACUGCCAGCUCCCCACCCCGAUGCUCCGGUGGUGACUAGUACCCACUCUAGAGUUACAGAAACCCAGGCAAUGUCGUCAGCUUCACCUGCUAGCUACCCUGUGCUAAAGAAGGGCAGCAGCUGAAGAAUUUUCAACUUACCGCUGAAAUUCUCAAGGAAAUCCUGAAGAACAAGUGUUGAGUAUGGCGCAUAUUUUAAAGGCCACUUUAGUUUACUAUUAAACCUGUGGAGGGGUUCUGCCAAUGAACGUUGCAAUCAGCAGAAAACGGGGCAAAUGAUUCAAAUUACCUCUGUUGUUGUUGUUGUUAUUAUUAUUAUUAAUCAACUACGUUCUCUUUGAGCCCUUUUACAUCGUAUGCUCUGACUACUAGUCAUACUAAAACUCACAUUGUUAGUUGAUAACUUAAAUGUUAGUACAGUAUGGGUGUUUCAAGAUGUUUUAAGGUAUUUGAGCACAGCAUGUUACCCGCAAAUAGAGCUGAUUUUCAUUAAGAUUAAUA
Long non-coding RNA from Mastomys coucha (southern multimammate mouse), 852 nucleotides. RefSeq lists it as uncharacterized. The transcript is spliced from 2 exons. Lineage: Eukaryota; Metazoa; Chordata; Mammalia; Rodentia; Muridae. The record is from RefSeq and is a predicted model, not a curated record.